Polistes canadensis is the source of this 625-nucleotide long non-coding RNA. RefSeq lists it as uncharacterized. NCBI's taxonomy places the organism in Eukaryota, Metazoa, Arthropoda, Insecta, Hymenoptera, Vespidae. The transcript has 5 exons. The record is from RefSeq and is a predicted model, not a curated record.
UUUUGAUUGGUCGUUGUAGGUGGUUGCGCGCGCAUUUCGAGUCACGUUUCGUGCGAGCACCCGCGAGUUCAGUAGCCGCCGUGCGGCCGCGUGUAUUCGUUCGCAAUUUUUCGGUUAGUAGUAGAAGUUAUUCUUCUUCUUCUUCUUCUUCAUCAUCAUCUUCUUCUUCGUGUGUUAUACUGAAGAAGAAAAAGAAGAAUUGGAAGCAGGAAGAAAAGAAGAAACACACAGUGUAUGAUAAAGCUCGGAAAUUGUCGUAUUCUCCGACAAGUGUUACGAGGACGAAAGAAGUCUUAUCUUUUAACAUUCGUCCAGUUACAAAGGAAGAUAUUUUUUUUUUUCUUUUUCUUUUCCAUUUUUUUUCUAUUUUUUUCCUUCGUUAAUUUUCUCAGUAAGAAAAAGGACAUUAGUCGUCGUCGUCGUUGGACAAUUUUUUUUUUGUUAUACAUUGCAUCGUGCUUUGAGAAAGCCCGAGGAUAUCAUCCCUUGUUGUUCCGGAUUUAAUUCCAUCAUCAAUAUGGAUGCGCAAACUGAGUUAACCAUGGAAAAUGGAAUACAACGGAGCAAUUAAAUAUCCCAUAGAAAAGACGAUUUCAAUAUACGAUGUCAAUGAACGCUACGGCAG